CCACCUUUUCUUUUGGGUGAACAGUGUCACAGCUUUUUGUCAAUCCAGUUUAUUUGUCUCUUUAUUAUCC
Molecule: long non-coding RNA, 70 nt
Organism: Etheostoma cragini (Arkansas darter)
Lineage: Eukaryota; Metazoa; Chordata; Actinopteri; Perciformes; Percidae
Exons: 3
Source: RefSeq, a predicted model, not a curated record